Mastomys coucha (southern multimammate mouse) is the source of this 1802-nucleotide long non-coding RNA. RefSeq lists it as uncharacterized. The transcript has 2 exons. NCBI's taxonomy places the organism in Eukaryota, Metazoa, Chordata, Mammalia, Rodentia, Muridae. The record is from RefSeq and is a predicted model, not a curated record.
GUUAAAACCUAUUCAUCUAAAGAACUUUAUGACCAUUUCAUUUGUAUCUGUCUUUCUUGACAACUGGAUGCUCUAUCUGUAAGAUUUCCUUGAAAAAUCAGAUCUUUUUAAAUCCUAGUACUUGAGAGGCUAAGGCAGGGAGAUUAUAAAUUGAAGGCCAACAUGGGGCUAUAAUAGAGCCAGUUGGAGGCCAUCCUUGGCUACACAGAUUGUUUGAGUGGGGUUAAAAAACGCUAUCUACCCUAAAAGAUAUCUUAAAUGAAAGUGGGGAGAAAAAAACAUUCUCUGGGGGAGGAAUCUUCCUGGGAGUGGUUGGUGCAGAGUGCUUAUCCAGGAAAAAAGCAGCAUAUAUGGGAGCUGAUCCCACUCUGCCUUAGGAAAAUGUGGGUUACUGUACAAACUGGCUUUAGUUGUCCCAGCAGUGGAACGAAUGACCUCACACUUUAGAACACCAAAAUCAAAACCUGCCAACUGUCUCCAAACCUAACUGUCACUAAACCUGCCAACUGUCUCCAAACCUAACUGUCACUAAACCUGCCAACUGUCAACAAACCUGCUAUCUCCAAUCCUGCUGUCUCCAAACCUGCUGUCAUGAAACACUUGUUCUUUGUACAACCUUGUGGCAACAGAAUGUCACUUUAUAUUAGUGACGGUAAAGAGGAAAUGAAAGAAGUGAAGGAAUGAGGCACACAGUGGAUAAAAUGGUUCCAAGAAGUUGAAGAAGCUCUGAGGAGUGAGUUAGGAGCUGAGCUGAGGAACAGCAAGAAGGGUAUGCAUUAGAAUUGAGUGUGGUGAGUUGAUAGGAAACACAACUGGAGAAUCGGAGAGGGGUAAGAUAAACUAUGAGAGGUCAAGGGUAGGAAGAUGGGCUUUUUUUUUUUUUUUUAAAAGAACACAUCAUGACUUGAGAAACUACCUCAAUAAGCCCUGCUAAAGAAAUGGAUUACUGAAGUCCAUUCUGGGUCAUUCAAUUUGUUACAAAGAGCUGAAGGUUAUAGUAUGAUUUAAGGAGAGUGAUUCCUUUACAUGUUGCACUUGUUUUAUUUAAAAUGACGUUUAUUGCUGAAGUUAUAGCUCAGUUAAGAAAGCCUAGUGUGUGUGAGACCCUGGGUAAAAUCCCUUGUCUCCCUCUACUCUGUCAAUAAUUUCCCAUCACUAAAAUCAGCAAUCUUACUAAGGAGAAGAAAAGAAAUUACAUCUAAAGUCUUCCCUUCUAAUGAUAUCAUUCAUAUAUAUAUGUAUAUGUAUAUAUAUAUAUAUAUAUGUAUAUAUAUAUAUGGCCAUAAAUUCAUAGAGACCUACCCACCUCUGCCUCCUGAGUGCUGGGAUUAAUGGUGUGUACCCUAAUGCUUGGAGGUAUCAUAUAAUUUUAAUGCUAUCUCUUAAUAGGUUUAGUAAGUGAAUAUUCAGAAUUAUGAUACCUUUAAAAGCUAUCUCUAGACCUCCUCAUAAAACAGAUUUACAGAAGAUUAGACUGUCAUUACUUUGCAUGACACAACUAAGCACAGUUGGGGCAAAUGAUUAUGGAUCUUCUAACUUCUAGAAUCUAUAUAAGGAGACAGCGUGUCUCCUGAGCAGUCUGCAGCCACCUGUCACUGAAUCAACUGAACGAAAUCAGGACAAGAGCCCUCCAAUGGAUCCAGGAUAUCACAAAAAUUAAUAUCCUUAUUAGAAAUGUGGAAAAUCUUCUAUUUCAUGUAGAAACAAAAUGACUUUUGAAAGAAACAUUCUAAUCCUUUCUUAUAAAGGCAGUCUUUGAGCAUUAGGUAGGAUAUGGAGCAGCUUACAGUCUGAGAAACAAA